Molecule: non-coding RNA, 21 nt
Filed under: Arabidopsis thaliana (thale cress)
Lineage: Eukaryota; Viridiplantae; Streptophyta; Magnoliopsida; Brassicales; Brassicaceae
Source: RNAcentral
GUUCAAAAGGUGUGGUGGAGA